UAGUGACAGAAGAAAAUAAAGUGAUUGAAGCAUGGGUGCAGCUAGCUGCAAUAGGAACAAAUAUAAAUUAAUAUUGUUUCAAAAAGUGAACUGGAAGUAUGCCAAACAUAGUAGUUUCUAGGGGAACGGAAAGAUUUGGAGUUUGUCCCCAGACGCAAGCCCAAGAAGACACAGACACCAAGUGUUGGAAUAAUGGGCCACAACUUUUAUUAAACAAUUAAUUAAUUGAGUAGCGGACAGUAGGAGGGAAACACUCCACCCCCCCACCACCACCCCGACAGUGCAGGCAUAACAAAGACCGGGUUCAGACUUCACAGUCCUAGCCCGCAUCCUAAUUGGGAGAUA
Hemicordylus capensis (graceful crag lizard) is the source of this 345-nucleotide long non-coding RNA. RefSeq lists it as uncharacterized. Lineage: Eukaryota; Metazoa; Chordata; Lepidosauria; Squamata; Cordylidae. The record is from RefSeq and is a predicted model, not a curated record. The transcript has 3 exons.